UACGAAGGGGGCUAGCGUUGUUCGGAAUUACUGGGCGUAAAGCGUAUGCAGGCGGAUCGCUAAGUCAGGGGUGAAAUCCCAGGGCUCAACCCUGGAACUGCCUUCAAAACUCCCGGUCUUGAGGUCGAGAGAGGUGAGUGGAAUUCCGAGUGUAGAGGUGAAAUUCGUAGAUAUUCGGAGGAACACCAGUGGCGAAGGCGGCUCACUGGCUCGAUACUGACGCUGAGGUGCGAAAGCGUGGGGAGCAAACAGG
This 253-nucleotide ribosomal RNA is filed under the name uncultured bacterium. RNAcentral's name for it is "partial 16S ribosomal RNA". It matches the Rfam family "Bacterial small subunit ribosomal RNA", at positions 524 to 776 of the family's 1533-position model. The record is from RNAcentral.